RNAcentral lists this ribosomal RNA (699 nucleotides) under uncultured diatom. RNAcentral's name for it is "bacterial SSU rRNA". It matches the Rfam family "Bacterial small subunit ribosomal RNA", at positions 94 to 824 of the family's 1533-position model. Lineage: Eukaryota; Bacillariophyta. The record is from RNAcentral.
AGUGGCGGACGGGUGAGUAACACGUAAGAAUUUGCCUUUAGGAGGGGGAUAACAACUGGAAACGGUUGCUAAUACCCCAUACGCUUUCGAGUGAAAUGGAUUUCCGCCUAAAGAGAAGCUUGCGGCUGAUUAGCUUGUUGGUAGGGUAAUGGCCUACCAAGGCGACGAUCAGUAUCUGGUUUGAGAGGACGAUCAGACACACUGGAACUGAGACACGGUCCAGACUCCUGCGGGAGGCAGCAGUAGGGAAUUUUCCGCAAUGGGCGAAAGCCUGACGGAGCAAUACCGCGUGAGGGAUGACUGCCUAUGGGUUGUAAACCUCUUUUUUCAGGGAGGAACAAAAUGACGUGUACCUGAAGAAUAAGCAUCGGCUAACUCCGUGCCAGCAGCCGCGGUAAGACGGAGGGUGCAAGUGUUAUCCGGAAUUACUGGGCGUAAAGCGUCUGUAGGUGGCUCGAUAAGUCAACUGUUAAAUCUUGAAGCUCAACUUCAAAAUCGCAGUCGAAACUAUCGGACUAGAGUAUAGUAGAGGUAAAGGGAAUUUCCAGUGGAGCGGUGAAAUGCGUAGAUAUUGGAAAGAACACCGAUGGCGAAAGCACUUUACUGGGCUAUUACUGACACUCAGAGACGAAAGCUAGGGUAGCAAAUGGGAUUAGAUACCCCAGUAGUCCUAGCCGUAAACAAUGGAUACUAGGUGUU